Molecule: long non-coding RNA, 2114 nt
Organism: Sycon ciliatum
Lineage: Eukaryota; Metazoa; Porifera; Calcarea; Leucosolenida; Sycettidae
Exons: 2
Source: RefSeq, a predicted model, not a curated record
ACCCAAGAUUUGUUUGUCUCUUCUCACUUUGAAAUAAUUUAAUUUUAAUUUUGGUCUUGGAAGAGUCUUGCUAGUUAGUAAUCAUGGAUUUAUGUGCACCAACAUGGCCUUUGUAACAUGAGAAUGUUGUCUUGGGGGGCCUGAUGGGGUCCUGCUUUUACUUAGCGCAUCAUGGUAGCCUUGCUAUGCCGUGAAAACGAGGUGACCUUGCAUGGCGAUUGAGCUGGAAGAAGGCCGCUGAGAAAGUAGAAAGUGGUUGCUGCAAGGACCAUAGAUGUGGUCAGUGUGCCUACACUUCAUUGGCGACCCCGACGUGAUUCGAAUACGCCUCUAGAUUCCCGACGGCCGAUGCGAUCAGUUCUCGACGUGACGGAACGUAUCCAGACGUGCUUUUCACAAGUUCCCAAAACGACUUCUUACAACCACCAUGCGUUCCGCGGAAACUAGUCAAGUUCCUCUCCAACUGUAAGGGGCUGUGAAUGGAUUGUGCGAUCAUGGGACUUGUCGACUUCUACCACCAACUCAACCACGUUGCCCGGCUGGCACCAGCCCUCCAAGCUCUGAGACAGGAUCACCCCGCACAGCGGCCAAAUCAGCUGAUCUCAUUAAAAACUGCCAGUUCGCCAAUGUCAACACACUCGUCCGCGCCUCGUUGGCAGUUUCGCAAUCACACCACGUCAUCCCAGUUGUGUCUCGUCCCUCGCUUCAACCUCUCCAAUGAUUUCACCGUGCCCGGUCACCCGCUUCGCCCCUUGACACUUUGGCUACACUCACAGCUCUGCGCCGAUGCCCAGUGUCUUCAGCAUCAUCGCUCUCCCUACGCCUGCACCCCGUCAAUGCUCUCCCUACGCCUGCACCCCGUCAAUGGACAACUAUCCGUCACAAAGCCGAAUCGUGAGUACUGAAGAUGAUCUGCAACCCUCGUGCCGCUCGCACGGCAUCUCUGUUCUUCAACCCCCCCCCCCCCCCCCGCCGCUCCUCACGCAACCCACUACCUACAUGUACGGCUGCACCCCGUCAAUGGACAACGAACAUGCUAUUCGUCACAAAGCCGAACCGUGAAUGCGGGAGAUGAUCCGCAACCCUCGUGCCUCUCGCCCUGUUCUUCAACUUGCCGCUCCUCACACAACCCACUGUGGCACUGUUUGCGCUUUUCCUGACUACUAGUAUUUCUACAGUGUAGCUGCUGCCGCUCAUCACCCCUACUGUUCUCGUUAUCGUUCGCACUGUAGCAUUUCACUAGGCGGGCAGCUACCGGUAUGUAGCGGCUAUUCGUCUUCACUAGCUACCGUAGCAGUGUACCGGCGGACUGAACAGUUACCUGUUGUUAACAACACCGGCCUGCACAGCGGCGGAUCUAGCGAUCUCUACAGCCCGGGGGGUUCCAGUAUAGUCAAAACCUGAAUAGCGGACACAUGUACAUGGACACGCAUAUGGUUGCCAGUAGCACAUUUACGAAAUUUAAGGGGUUCCACGGAACCCCUGGAACCUCUCCUGGAUCCACCCCAGCUGCACCUCUUGAGCAUAAACGCAUGUCCCACGCAUUGCAUGCACAGCAUUCUUACUAACACAGCGCUGACUCUCCUCUCCCACGCAUUGCCGGCUUUUGUUAUCCAUGCAUUCCGAGAGUGGGCUCCCUAUGUUUGGACUUCGUUCCUCCGCAUAGCUGUCACCGCCGGACCUUAUUUUCUUCACCACUGCACGCAUAACGACUAUUGCUUUUUUUUCUUUUUCUUUUUACAAAAUCCACAUAUCUCCAGACACUGCGGUGAAUAAUGGAGUGUAGUGGAGGGGGCAAAGCUCCCAGCUGUUCUAGCGAUGCCUUGGGAAGUGUAGCCACCCACCACUCUAUCUGCAUGCCUACUCUUUCUACUAACAUCUAGGCUGUACAACAUUCUCUCUAUUGCUGCACUCCACCUAGAGCAUCGACAAGCAUGCCUGCCUUCAACCUAUAAAAGCCUCUGCCCUUCCCUUCUCCAUCAUCUCACAAUCCAGUCACAGCUUUCUGUAGUCUGACUUUACUGAUCAAUCAUCUGAACCCGUUGCACUUGUCGUGUGUGCCUGCCUACCCUUCACAGUUCACUCUCAGAAUCAGCCAACAGUUUUCAGCCAAA